This 253-nucleotide ribosomal RNA is filed under the name uncultured bacterium. RNAcentral's name for it is "partial 16S ribosomal RNA". It matches the Rfam family "Bacterial small subunit ribosomal RNA", at positions 524 to 776 of the family's 1533-position model. The record is from RNAcentral.
UACGGGGGGGGCAAGCGUUGUUCGGAAUUACUGGGCGUAAAGGGCUCGUAGGCGGCCAACUAAGUCAGACGUGAAAUCCCUCGGCUUAACCGGGGAACUGCGUCUGAUACUGGAUGGCUUGAGAUUGGGAGAGGGAUGCGGAAUUCCAGGUGUAGCGGUGAAAUGCGUAGAUAUCAGGAGGAACACCAAUAGCGAAGGCAGCUCGCUGGGACGGUACUGACGCUAAGGCGCGAAAGCGUGGGGAGCGAACAGG